UGGGGAAUUUUGGACAAUGGGGGCAACCCUGAUCCAGCAAUGCCGCGUGUGUGAAGAAGGCCUUCGGGUUGUAAAGCACUUUUGUCCGGAAAGAAARCUUCSUGGUUAAUACCCGGGGRGGAUGACGGUACCGGAAGAAUAAGCACCGGCUAACUACGUGCCAGCAGCCGCGGUAAUACGUAGGGUGCRAGCGUUAAUCGGAAUUACUGGGCGUAAAGCGUGCGCAGGCGGUKCUGUAAGACMGAUGUGAAAUCCCCGGGCUUAACCUGGGAACUGCAUUGGUGACUGSAGSGCUGGAGUAUGGCAGAGGGGGGUGGAAUUCCACGUGUAGCAGUGAAAUGCGUAGAGAUGUGGAGGAACACCGAUGGCGAAGGCAGCCCCCUGGGCCAAUACUGACGCUCAUGCACGAAAGCGUGGGGAGCAAACAGGAUUAGAUACCCUGGUAGUCCACGCCCUAAACGAUGUCAACUGGUUGUCGGGCCUUCAUUGGCUUGGUAACGUAGCUAACGCGUGAAGUUGACCGCCUGGGGAGUACGGUCGCAAGAUUA
Molecule: ribosomal RNA, 548 nt
Filed under: uncultured bacterium
Lineage: Bacteria
Description: bacterial SSU rRNA
Rfam family: Bacterial small subunit ribosomal RNA
Source: RNAcentral